RNAcentral lists this ribosomal RNA (301 nucleotides) under uncultured bacterium. RNAcentral's name for it is "partial 16S ribosomal RNA". It matches the Rfam family "Bacterial small subunit ribosomal RNA", at positions 509 to 807 of the family's 1533-position model. The record is from RNAcentral.
CAGUCGCCGCGGUAAUACGUAGGUGGCAAGCGUUGUCCGGAAUUAUUGGGCGUAAAGGACUCGCAGGCGGUUUCUUAAGUCUGAUGUGAAAGCCCCCGGCUCAACCGGGGAGGGUCAUUGGAAACUGGGAAACUUGAGUGCAGAAGAGGAGAGUGGAAUUCCACGUGUAGCGGUGAAAUGCGUAGAGAUGUGGAGGAACACCAGUGGCGAAGGCGACUCUCUGGUCUGUAACUGACGCUGAGGAGCGAAAGCGUGGGGAGCGAACAGGAUUAGAUACCCCCGUAGUCCCUGUCUCUUAUAC